ACGUGAUCUGAGUUCAGACCGGAGUAAUCCAGGUCAGUUUCUAUCUAUAAAGAGUCUUUUCCAGUACGAAAGGACCGCAAAGACAAGGUCUAUAUACCAACAAACCUUACUUAUUAAAUUAUGAGCUAAACUUAAUAAUUUAAUAAACCCCCAUAAUGCUCAAAAAAAGAGUA
This 173-nucleotide ribosomal RNA is filed under the name Phyllomedusa vaillantii (white-lined leaf frog). RNAcentral's name for it is "partial 16S ribosomal RNA". The record is from RNAcentral. Lineage: Eukaryota; Metazoa; Chordata; Amphibia; Anura; Hylidae.